CGCCCUGCCUGCUCGGACCUCGGAGUCGCCGGCGGCGCCGAAACGCAGCAGGGGCGCGAGGGGUAAGGCGGGGCAGACCCUGCUUAGCCUCAAAAUUACGGCCUUAGAACGCGGGCGCGCUGCGCGUUAAGGAUCCGCAGGCAGACCCGGACCUGGGACCCACUGCCCGCGUCGCGGGGACUAGGGCUUUCCAGGGACUGGUGGGGGCAGUGAGAGGCCCGGCGCCGCGUCCUCCUCGGCCCUUGGCCCUUAGCGACUCAGGGCGAGGCAGCGAGUGGCUGAAAAGCAGGCAUUAGGACCGCAGAGGAGACGCCAGCGGCCGUGGAGAAACAGGACUCACUUCUUAACGGAGACUUCCGGAUCGGAGCCCGGCGGCGCCAGGACGGAGAGGCGUGGGUCCCCGCGGGAAGGGCAGGGAGUCCAGGCCCACAGGGAGCGACAGCACUGACCAGGCAGUCACCACCCCAGGGACAGUUUGUAUCCUGUGAGGAUCAACAGCUGAGGAUGAUGAUGUUGGAGCACAAGAUGGACGCAGCGUUGGAGGAACUGGCCCAGAGAGGAGGAGAGCAGAGAGAAGGCCAACGGCAGAGUUUGGCUGCCACUACUGCUAAUGGGCGAUCAGACAAUUCCCGGCUCCUGCACUGAUUACCUCGGGCUUACUUAUCACCGUCGUCUUGAGCUUCUGCUGCCAGCCACAUGCAGGAGGAAGAGGAGGAGGCAGUGGACAUGACCUUCACCUCACCGAGCUUAGCCUAGGUGGGAAGAUCAGUGAGAGUACAGAAUCAGGAACCAGACUCCAGCUCUGACGCAACUAUCGCUUCCGCUGUCCGUAAAAAGAAAUCAGACAAGAAACAGAAGAGGAGAACUAUUUUUGGGUAGAUGUAGAGGAGUCGUCAAGGGCAUUUUGGGAUGGCAUCUUGGCAGAGAGGUUUACGUCUUCACUUGUGACACCAGCAUCCCAUAUGUGCACCUGUUGGCGUCCAGCUGCUAGCUCCUGGCUUUGUGUCUGGGAAAGGAACUGGGGGUUCAGCCACUGUUCUGGUCCCCCUAAUAAAGACUCUCUGGCUGUCCCAGACCUAGCUGCACCAGCCUGCCUGCUACCCCCACCACGGCUGCUGUCAGCAGGUCAGUGCCACUGCUUGGGAGGGGCCCAAAAGGCAGUUUUGUUUGAACCACUGUGGGAUAAGGAUGUGGUCAGACUGCCUCUCCCUUGGCCUUUUCACAGGAGGAACAUCUCUGCGGAUUAGCACAGUGGUUUGCUGGUUCAGGACACUUAACAAAUGCAGAUAGGGCCUCUCCUGUGAUUUCUAUCUUCACAGCCUCAAGGUCAUGCAGCGCACUUUCUCAGCCAAAACAGACCCCGCCCCCCACCAGACACAAAAUCAUGGUGGAUGGUCACCAGCCAGAGACAGGUGUAGUGAGGAAGGUUGCUAUUCCAGUCCACUCCCAGAGGAGGGCCAGUACCUGCCCCACCUUCCCGUCCCAGGGACACGGCCUAGGACAGCCCUGGUUCCUCUGGUGGAAGACUCCACCCCACACAGCACUGCGCAGGAGGCAAUGUCAAGCUCCAGUCUCCUUUUGAGAAGCACACUGCUACCAGGUCCUUGGAGAAUGGGAGGUCACUCCCCCCUCUCGUGGAACUACCACCGUUUAUCAGUUACAGUGACAGCCUGGUAACCACACUGUACUUGGUUGAACCACUCUCUUAAUGAUACCAGAGUCCCUGAUGGGCAGGGCUCUACAGCUAGAGCCUGUUUCUGCGUCUACACUCUGUCCUUACAGGGUUCAGACCAGCACUGACCACACAGGACAGCUGUGCCCCCGGGAGGCAGAUUGAUGCAGUGGAGUCUAGAACAAACUCUAUUUCUGACCUUAAACUAGGUACUCUUCCUGCAUGAAGGAGGCAAGGUUACAUCUGACAGAGACGACACUCAAACUGACCGUGCCUUCACACGUGUCCCUCUGCCUCUUUAAGGCCACAGAGCACACCCUCAGAGGCAACGGGGAUGGCUCAAGUGACUUGGCCCCAUCAGCCAUGUGGGAGACCAGGAUUGAUUUCUGCUCCUGGCUUUUCAGCCUGACCCAGAUCUGGCUACUGUGGACAUUUGCAGAGUGAAUCGGAGGUUGGGAGCUCUGUUUUUCCCUCUCUUUCAAAUAAAUGAAUGAACUGUAAAAUUAAAAAAAAAAAAAAAAGCCACUGCUGGACAAAGGAUCUGUGUUGUGUGCCAGGGCCCCCUUGUGUCAGAGCUCCAUGGUGCCAAGUCCUGGGACAUCUGAAAGGAGAGGGAAAGGGACUGGCGCUGUGGCACAGAGGGUAAAGCUGCUGCCUGUAGAGCUGGCAACCCUUAUGACUGCCAAUUCCAGUCCUGUUUACUCCACUUCCGAUGCAGCUCCCUGCUAACGCAGCUGAACAUGGUCCAAGUGCCCAGCCCUGGGUUCAGUGGACAUAUGGGCAGUGAAGCAGUGGAUGGAAGAUACUUACUUGUCUCUUUCCCCUUCUCUCUUCACUCUCUGUAGCUCUGCCUUUCAAGUAAAGAAAUAAAAAAAAACCACACACACACAGAAAAAGAAGUGGGUAAGACUCCCUCACUUCCCAACACCAAUUGGAGAUCCCACACUGUUUCCUGCAGGAAAUUCAUUCGAUAACACCAAUUAGGGUAUUUGGUUAGGAGGUUUCCUAAGAGAGAGCUUAAAAAAAGUCACCUUGUUGACACUGAUGUGCUAAUCCACCUGGCCCCCAGCCUGCUCCUGGACUUGAGGUCUGAGGCUCUGAAAGUGAUUCAAUUCCUCUUUGCAUUUUCGUUUACUUUGUCUGUCUGUUGGCUCUUUCCGUGUCUGAGGACAUCAAUGAGAAAGCUUCUGUGGAUCAACUUGGAGUUCUGAGGGCCUCAGCCUGUCCAAGCUCCACAUAGCACAGUGGCUGGCCAGGUUUCCCUGGCAAUGAGGAAGGCACACAGUGUUGAUGGAUUCCUGGACUUCCUGGGUUGGGACUGCCUCCCUGAUUGCCCUCUGUCCUGCAGGUUGGCCUGGUGGAGUCGGUAGAAAGGAGGCCCCAUACCCCGGAGCCUUCCCCACCUGAUGGAAGCUGUGAGCUGGGUGUCCUGCAGGAAGCAGAGAGGGGCCCGAGCCCUGAGCCCUCCCCAUGUGACAGGCACCUGUGAGCUGCUUUGCCUGUCUUACUGCUUCUAGGCCUCACAAAGGCCCUGUAUGGGAGGUGUCACUAUUAGUUUUCUUCCUUUUCAAAUUAGGAAAGAGAGGCUCAGAAAAGGUAAGCAUUGCUUAGAUAUCCAGAAAACGAUGGAGCUAGCAUGCAAAGAAAAGGGGAAAAAUAUGUGAGAGCAUGACACCAACUUUCCCACAGGAAGCUCUAUUGUCCCAGUACUGCUUUGCUUUGUCAGAGGAGAUUAGUUUAGCUGUUACUAUGUUCCUCGAGCAGGAACUUGAAGCAAUGAAGGAAUAAGAUUUGGGGAGAAGAAGCAGUUAAAAUAUUGUAGAGGAAAAGGCGGCCCUGCUCCUGGGGCAUGAGCAGCUUAAUUGAGGGCGCCCACAGGUCAAUGUAGGACAUGCUGUCCCAGUGAGACGCUGAGGGUGCUGAGCAGACCUGUUUGGGUGGCACUGGGGCUUUCUAGCAUUUACUCGCAGGGUGUGUAUCUUAGGAAACUGGAGUUUUAGAGACAGAAGGAAGGGUGAGGUCACCCCAGGCACAGAAGGUGUGGGAAGUCUUGCAGAUGCCAGAUGCAAUACCACUCACUGUGGAGAGAGGAACUGGAGAAGGAGGUGCCCAGGGGCGCUGACAGCAGGAACACAGGGCAGAGGUGAGCGCCAAUGUCUGGCUGGGAUCCAUGUCCCAGUGUGCGGCACGGGAAAAAUUAUGCCUCAGGUUCUGUAACCGUGGACUGGAAAGGGCCAGUACCUGGCGGUCAGAGGCUCGGGGAAACCCUCCCCAAGGCCUUUCUCUGUGCCUUUCCCAGGCCUGUGGCCCAGCACAGAGGCAAGA
This is a long non-coding RNA of Lepus europaeus (European hare), 3997 nucleotides long. RefSeq lists it as uncharacterized. NCBI's taxonomy places the organism in Eukaryota, Metazoa, Chordata, Mammalia, Lagomorpha, Leporidae. The transcript has 3 exons. The record is from RefSeq and is a predicted model, not a curated record.